Molecule: ribosomal RNA, 443 nt
Filed under: uncultured bacterium
Lineage: Bacteria
Description: bacterial SSU rRNA
Rfam family: Bacterial small subunit ribosomal RNA
Source: RNAcentral
GAUGAAUGCUGGCGGCGUGCCUAAUACAUGCAAGUCGAGCGGUAAGGCCCUUCGGGGUACACGAGCGGCGGACGGCUGAGUAACGCGUGGGAACAUGCCCCAAAGUGAGGGAUAACGCACCGAAAGGUGUGCUAAUACCGCAUAUGGUCUUCGGAUUAAAGGAUUUAUCCGCUUUGGGAGUGGCCCGCGUACGAUUAGAUUGUUGGUGAGGUAACGGCUCACCAAGUCGACGAUCGUUAACUGGUCUGAGAGGAUGAUCAGUCAGACUGGAACUGAGACACGGUCCAGACUCCUACGGGAGGCAGCAGUAAGGAAUCUUCCACAAUGGGCGAAAGCCUGAUGGAGCAACGCCGCGUGCAGGAUGAAGGCCCUCGGGUCGUAAACUGCUUUUAUGAGUGAAGAAUAUGACGGUAACUCAUGAAUAAGCACCGGCUAACUACGUG